GACAGAGGGUGCAAACGUUGUUCGGAAUUACUGGGCGUAAAGAGAGUGUAGGCGGUCUUGUAAGUCGGAUGUGAAAGCCCCGGGCUCAACCCGGGAAGUGCACUCGAUACUGCGAGGCUAGAGUACUGGAGAGGUUGGUGGAAUUCUCGGUGUAGAGGUGAAAUUCGUAGAUAUCGAGAGGAACACCGGUGGCGAAGGCGGCCAACUGGACAGAUACUGACGCUGAGACUCGAAAGCGUGGGGAGCAAACAGG
Molecule: ribosomal RNA, 253 nt
Filed under: uncultured bacterium
Lineage: Bacteria
Description: partial 16S ribosomal RNA
Rfam family: Bacterial small subunit ribosomal RNA
Source: RNAcentral